UAGCAUAAACUUUCUCCUAGUUUCUAUUCGUUUCCAGGAAUAAGAAACCCUUUUGCGAAUCUUCGAUAGUCUUUAGCUUGUGGUAUAAAGGAAAUAGCUAAAAGAAGAUAAAAGUGUCCAAGGGACUUUUGUUUGGAUUUUUCUUUAAGUUUGUUAUUGAUAACUUAUUUUCGUUAAGACAUGCAUUUGUAUAUGGACUGUUGUGAUAGCCAAGAUCAAUGGAUUGUUUCUUGUAUUAUUCGUGUUUUGUUUUUCCUUCUUUUAUUUGAUCCUAUCCUCUGUUAAAUACCUUUGGUUGAAAUCUGGGAUAAUUAGUCUUUCGCGGGCUAGCAGUGUUAAAAUUUGGUUUGAUAUAGUAGGAAUCAUCGAGACUAGAAACUACAUGCUGGAACCAUGUUUUUUGGUAUAAAAUCUCCCUUAAGAACUUGUGCAGGGAGCUCUUUUUCUUUUUGUAUCCGUUCGUGACCAUUUUGUUCAUUGCAUUCGCUACUUGUUAUGUCCAAGAACGUACCUUUACCUCUAAAUAGAUUAUCUAGGUAUGCCCAAAUCAUGUAUAAUAUGAUUUGUUGAAUUAUGCGUCAUUUUUAGAGAAGUUACUUUCAUUCUAGUUGUCUCAUUCUAUUCGGAUUGUAAUAUAUACCCGUCCAUGCUUUGCAUCGUAUCGAUUGACUCUCAUUCUUAUUAUCUGCAUAAGUGUGUGCAUCAUUAUCAUUCAUAAAUUGGAC
Molecule: long non-coding RNA, 725 nt
Filed under: Capsicum annuum
Lineage: Eukaryota; Viridiplantae; Streptophyta; Magnoliopsida; Solanales; Solanaceae
Description: long non-coding RNA (CANN_LNC015211)
Source: RNAcentral